UACGGAGGAUGCAAGCGUUAUCCGGAAUGAUUGGGCGUAAAGCGUCCGCAGGUGGCUGUGUAAGUCUGCUGUCAAAGAGCAAAGCUCAACUUUGUAAAGGCAGUGGAAACUACACGGCUAGAGUGCGUUCGGGGCAGAGGGAAUUCCUGGUGUAGCGGUGAAAUGCGUAGAGAUCAGGAAGAACACCGAUGGCGAAGGCGCUCUGCUAGGCCGCAACUGACACUGAGGGACGAAAGCUAGGGGAGCGAAUGGG
This 253-nucleotide ribosomal RNA is filed under the name uncultured bacterium. RNAcentral describes it as "partial 16S ribosomal RNA". It matches the Rfam family "Bacterial small subunit ribosomal RNA", at positions 524 to 776 of the family's 1533-position model. The record is from RNAcentral.